RNAcentral lists this ribosomal RNA (465 nucleotides) under Vreelandella stevensii. RNAcentral's name for it is "partial 16S ribosomal RNA". It matches the Rfam family "Bacterial small subunit ribosomal RNA", at positions 338 to 795 of the family's 1533-position model. The record is from RNAcentral. Lineage: Bacteria; Pseudomonadati; Pseudomonadota; Gammaproteobacteria; Oceanospirillales; Halomonadaceae.
CCUACGGGUGGCAGCAGUGGGGAAUAUUGGACAAUGGGCGAAAGCCUGAUCCAGCCAUGCCGCGUGUGUGAAGAAGGCCUUCGGGUUGUAAAGCACUUUCAGUGGGGAAGAAAGCCUUGGGGCUAAUACCCUCGAGGAAGGACAUCACCCACAGAAGAAGCACCGGCUAACUCCGUGCCAGCAGCCGCGGUAAUACGGAGGGUGCGAGCGUUAAUCGGAAUUACUGGGCGUAAAGCGCGCGUAGGCGGUCUGAUAAGCCGGUUGUGAAAGCCCCGGGCUCAACCUGGGAACGGCAUCCGGAACGGGCAGGCUAGAGUGCAGUAGAGGAAGGUAGAAUUCCCGGUGUAGCGGUGAAAUGCGUAGAGAUCGGGAAGAAUACCAGUGGCGAAGGCGGCCUUCUGGACUGACACUGACGCUGAGGUGCGAAAGCGUGGGUAGCAAACAGGAUUAGAUACCCUUGUAGUC